CCCCUCCCUCUCCCCGAGACAUGUGCGCACGCUAUGCCGGCGGACAGUUGCGGGCUCUGAAAAACUGAUGCACGACCAGCUGCUGCUCUUUCUCCCCUUCCCUCCUUUCCGCUCCGCUCGGCUGUUCUCCUCCUCUUCGUUUUCUUCCCCACACUGCCUCCGUUCAUCCCCUCUGUACUUUUCCACCUUCCUUCCCCUUCCGACGUGGGACAUUGUGCCUUUGCACUUUUCCUCAGGCGGACAUGAAGGCAGGUCCUGUCGCAGGGAGAGGGCUUGUGUAAUCUCCGGCUGCACACGAGCAAAGGAGAGCUACUGCCUGGGCUGGAAACGCACCGCCGGCAAGGGGACCGCGAGCGCAGCCGGAGGGCAAACUUUGGGACAAGCGGAAGGAGGAGAAGAAGAAGAAGAAGAAGAAGAAGAAGAAGAAGAAGAAGGAAUAGCUCUGAAAGAGGGAGGGAGGAGAAGGAAGGGAGACACACACACAGAGAGAGAUUCAAGUUGGGGUGCAGGACACAACAGAGAGCAUGCCGGGCUCGGUGGUGGUGCUGCUGCUGCUGCCGCUGCUGUCCCUGUUGCUCCUGUCCGCAGGAAGUGAUGGCAGACGAAUCAGGAAGAGAGGACUCAACCAAAAGGACUACGAGUACCCCAACCACCCCCAGUCCACACAGCAGCAGAAGAAUGACCGGUGCCCGCCCCCGCCCCAGAUGCUGCCCGAGCGGGCCUGCGAGGUGCCCGGCUGCCGCUCGGACUCGGAGUGCGAGCGCCACAAACGCUGCUGCUACAACGGCUGCAUCUACGCCUGCCUGGAGUCCGUUCAGCCGCCGCCAGUGCUGGACUGGCUGGUGCAGCCCAAGCCUCGCUGGUUGGGCGGUAACGGCUGGCUGCUAGACGGCCCCGAAGAGGUUCUGCAAGCGGAGGCCUGCAGCACGACGGAGGAUGGCGACGAGCCUCUCCACUGCCCCACAGGCUACGAGUGCCACAUCAUCAACCCAGGGAACCCCGCCGCCGGCAUCCCAAACCGGGGACAGUGCAUCAAGCAACGUGGGAACUCCGACGGUCGUGGCUUGAGGCACAAAUACUACAAGGACUACAAGGACUAUUUAGGUAAGUGAGGAACCCCUUCUAACAAUGCAGUCGGCUACGAAAAAAAUCAACACAAGCACCUGGGAUGAAAUCAACCGUGACCUCAGCCUCAGCUGCGACCAGAACACAACCUCAGACAUCAGCCCGGUCAUCUCCGAUCUGCCUCUCGUCUCAACCCUGAACCAGGAGCAGGUCUCGCCUUUUUCAUUUCACAGCUGCUACCUCCUCUUUGCAAAGCCCCCCCCCCAUUGUAUUUUGCGGCCUCUCUGUUCUCCUGUCUCCGACGCACCUACACGUACACAGCCAAAGACAAAAUAAGGGCUUCUUUUGUGUGUGUGUGUGUCUCUCUGUCUUAAUAUAUGUGAAAGGAAGGAGCAGACGGUGUUGGUGGUGUCGGAGAGGAAGAGAGAGCAGGCUGUGCACCAAAGCUGUUUCGUUUCUUCAUAAAUCUCUUAAGGGUGUUUCUGCACACGCCUCUCCCUCCGUGUACCGCUCGUUCUUAUUCUCACACAUGGACAAACUCUCUAACCUGGUCAGCAGAGAAAAUCAAUACCACAUGCUCCAGUUUUUCCCUCUCCGAAAGCACGCCAUCCAGAUUCCUGCGAAUCUGCAAGGCUUUAUAGACAAAUAGAAGAAAUCCCCAGCAGCAACUGGCCGCAUCUUUGGAUAGUAAAAAAUCCCACGUGUGAAAUAAAAUUCAAUCUAAUUAUAAGAAUAAAUGCCAUAUGAGUGUGUGGAUUGUGUCAGUUAUGAAGGAUUUGGAUAGGAGAAAAAAUAAAGCUGUGGUUUCGGUUUUUAGACACCAGAUGCUGAGAUGUGAAAUCGCUGCUGUGAUAAGCGAAACUGUAGUUCAUUUUAAGAGAACGAUUUGAGCCUAAUCCACAUUUAAACCGAUACUUCACGUGUGAGCGAGGAAACCUUGAAGAGCCUGUAAACGCCGCCGCCUUCCGCAGAGGGCGGGAGUUUGACGAGGAAAAGAUAGAUUCAAAUAAUUCACUGAAACGUGAGUCAUGUAACAAAUAUCAUAUGAUUAUAUAAGCCAUUCAUCAUUUGCGUGUCAUCUGGUGACAAAUGUGGCUUAUCUGACAGACAAAAUGAUUCAGGCUGCCUUUUUAUUUUAAAUUAUCACGACGCCAAAUGUCGCCGUACAAGCAUAACCACAGAAAGGGCUCUUGCACAGAGCAGAUUUUUUAAAAACUGCUCGGAGGAUCUGUGUUACUCUCAAACGUUAACCUGCUUCGGUGCUUCGUCUCUGUUUUCAUUUGAAAUGGUGCUCACCUUCCUUGCUGCCUCUAAAUAACAGAAGAAUAAGCUGAGGGCGCGUAAAACAAAAGCUGAAACCAUUCUCCAAAGUGUGCAGAACUAAAGUAAUGUCUGAAUGUCGCCGCCUACCUGGUGCUGUAAUGCUGCCUUGUUUGUUCUGAAUAAACAACUUUUGUUGA
Scophthalmus maximus (turbot) is the source of this 2525-nucleotide RNA transcript. It is a transcript of the gene named WAP four-disulfide core domain 1, with no coding region annotated. Lineage: Eukaryota; Metazoa; Chordata; Actinopteri; Pleuronectiformes; Scophthalmidae. The record is from RefSeq and is a predicted model, not a curated record. The transcript has 7 exons.